Dendrobium catenatum is the source of this 1487-nucleotide long non-coding RNA. RefSeq lists it as uncharacterized. NCBI's taxonomy places the organism in Eukaryota, Viridiplantae, Streptophyta, Magnoliopsida, Asparagales, Orchidaceae. The record is from RefSeq and is a predicted model, not a curated record. The transcript is spliced from 2 exons.
GUACACCUCGGUAUAGGCGGGAUUUUGCCUACGACCGGAUGUUCCUCUGCAUCCGGUCGGAGGACGUAAUAAUUGUUUUUUCCCAUGUUGAUGUAUUUUUGUAUCAUUAAAUCAAACGCUUUUUUGAGGAGCAGUUCAGAAUUUUUUGGGGUUGAAAAUCGUAUCUAAGAUAUAGGUGCUGUCAAUUGACUGCGUGAUGAAACGCUGAGGAAACCAGCAUGAUAAAUCACUCUUUCUUAUGAUGCGGGGUAGAUCUAUAUCAAAUCAUACUGCAUUAGGUUAACAUAAAAUCAAAUAAAUUUAGGGGCUGUUUGGUUGCCUGAAUUAGGAGGGUAAAGUAAAAUAAAUACAUGUAUUUACUAAAUUUGGCUGUUUGGUUAAUUUUGAGUGGAACAAAAGGAAAACCUCCGAAGCAUUAGGCGUGUAUUACGUGAGGCGGAUCUCGCGACUUUGAAAGCCGCUCAAAAUGAGCGGGUUUGAAAUUCUUCGCUCGAGUACCAGCCCCGUGCCAUCCCUCCUGCGAAGAGCGAAGUCGAACAGCCAAGAGGGAGCCAAAGUCGAAUAGCAACGAAGGAAAGGAAGGAGAGAUCCGUGCGGUCUGUCGCUCUCAUGCGAAUGAACGAAGUCUAACGACGACAAGGGAGCUGAGAAGCGACGGUGCAAUCUAUGCACCCCCUGCGAAUCAACGAAAAUGAACAGCAACGACGAAAAGGAGAAGAUGAAAGGCGAACCCAGGUCGUCUUUCUGGGUUGGAUGAGUUCGGACACUGAAAUGGAAAUCGGCUAGAUCAAUCAGUGGAAGCAGUGGUUCGGAUUUGGAAGAGGUCUGGCAGCAGGAAUUUUGUGGAGGAAAGAGACGAAGAGCAACCGAUGACUUUCAUUCGAUCUGCAUUUUAUCAACAUGAAUGGUGAAAUUGAGCAGGAUUUAUGCAUGCAAAAGAUGAAAUAGGUCGGCACCAUUGCAGGGAAUGGGGCACUGCAGCGGGAUUUCUGCCAGCAAUGAAAGCUGCAGGUGCAAGCAGAAGAGUUUUUCAGCUUCUUGAUCGUGUGUCCUCUAUGCCAAAAUCUGGUGAUAUCUAAAGAGGUUCAUGGAGAUGACUAUCUUAUGCAGUUUGUGGUAGCACAGAAGCUUGAAGAACAAGUUCUGAUGGGGUUGACCGGUUGAGAGAGGAGAAUAUUCACCUCAUAAAUAAAGACCAUGUUGACUCAUUCACUGAAAUUGUAGUUGCUUGUUUGUCAAAUGAAGAACCAAAAAGAUGAUGCUGGAGUUGUUAAUUUCCUAUCUGAAGUCCAGCCUUUUGUUUUUGCCAACACUAAUUUAAUUCUGUCAGGCUUGGGGGUGUUAGCUGUUGUGGUGCUUGCUAUCGCAUUUGUUUGUUUUAAAUUUUUUAAUUUAUUGUUGUUUUUUUGUCUGUGUAACUAUAUAAUCUUUGGGCUUUCGUUUGAUAGAUAUGUUGCAAAAAAAGAAUUGUUUUUGAAAUCAUGUAA